RNAcentral lists this ribosomal RNA (468 nucleotides) under uncultured bacterium. RNAcentral's name for it is "partial 16S ribosomal RNA". It matches the Rfam family "Bacterial small subunit ribosomal RNA", at positions 38 to 507 of the family's 1533-position model. The record is from RNAcentral.
GAAGAAAGAGGGGGGAGGGAGGAACACAUGCAAGUCGAACGGAAAGGCCCUGCUUUUGUGGGGUGCUCGAGUGGCGAACGGGUGAGUAACACGUGAGUAACCUGCCCUUGACUUUGGGAUAACUUCAGGAAACUGGGGCUAAUACCGGAUAGGAGCUCCUGCUGCAUGGUUGGGGUUGUAAAGUUUCGGCGGUUGGGGAUGGACUCGCGGCUUAUCAGCUUGUUGGUGGGGUAGUGGCUUACCAAGGCUUUGACGGGUAGCCGGCCUGAGAGGGUGGCCGGCCACAUUGGGACUGAGAUACGGCCCAGACUCCUACGGGAGGAAGCAGUGGGGAAUAUUGCAAAAUGGGCGGAAGCCUGAUGCAGCAACGCCGCGUGCGGGAUGACGGCCUUCGGGUUGUAAACCGCUUUCGCCUGUGACGAAGCGUGAGUGACGGUAAUGGGUAAAGAAGCACCGGCUAACUACGUG